GUUUAUACUUUAUAGUUUAAAACAAAGAUGAUCACAGCUCUUUCCCAAAACAAACCUCCUUCUUGCCUGGGGAUGAGACUGCCUUUGUAGGACUAUCAAAUUAAGCAUAAGAUUAGAAACUAUGGUUUAGGGGUCAUGCAGCUGGAGGCUAUAAGUAAGAUUCUGACCCUCCCAAGACUAUUCCUAAGAUCAGUGCUUGAGAUAUUUUGCAGACCCUGCACUUAAUGGAUGAGCUGUCACCACCUAAAUCCAUAAACUGUCUCAUCUGAUCUUGUGACCUCCACCCGGGAACUGACUCAGCACAAGAGGACAGCUUCAACUCCCUAUGAUUUCAUCUCUGACCCAACCAACCAGCACUCUUGACUCACUGGCCAUCCCCCACCCACCAAAUUAUCCUUAAAAACUCUGAUCCCCAAAUGCUCAGGGAGACUGAUUUGAGUAAUAAUAAAACUCCGAUCUCCUGCACAGCUGGCUCUGUGUGAAUUACUGUUUCUCUAUUGCAGUUCCCCUGUCCUGAUAAAUUAGCUCUGUCUAGGCAGUGGGCAAGGUGAACCCAUCAGGUGGUUAUGCUAAUAAAACUUUCCUUUUCAAACCUAUACUGUUGUCAGUAAACUCUUCCCAACUCAUGAGUCGACGACUUUCUAAUGCUGGGACUCUGACACCUUGCCCAGCAUCUUGGUAGUCUGUAUGGGGAUUUUACUGAGAUUUCUCCCUUCUUUUUUCUCCCUGCUUCCCUCAGUGCCCUGGUUCUCUACUCAUGGGAGUUGAUGGUAGCUGGCUGAGGCCACUCUUUGGUGGGAUCCUGAAGCCUAGAGAAGGGAUACCUGUCUGUCGCUGUUCUUAGAGCCCAGAUGGUGAAAUGACUCAUCUCUUCCACUGGCCAGCAAAACAAGGGAGACAGAAGAGGAGCUGUUAUAAUCCAGAUAAAAAAUGAUGUUUCAGAGGCAACGGGAAAAUAUUUCUAUGCAACGAUGGUAGUACAUUGAUAGCGCUUGUUAAUACUUUGUAUUCCUUUUCAGAUUCACAGCUUGAGUUUCACAUUGCUUCCAGAUUCCCAAGAGUAGUUCUGACCAAGAAUUCUUUUUAUCUUUCUCAUGUAUGUAAAUUGUAAACAUUUUUGGCUUUCAAAUAAUUUAUUUUGGUCACUUCUUUUUGUGAAGAUGAAAGAUUAUCCUUCAAACAUGUGACUUUUUUUGUUACUUUCCUUGAAAAUCACCUAGCAAUUUUAUAUGAAGUAUGUUCUAAUUUACAAAUGUGACUAGGAUUAAAGUAUAGGUCCUUCAGUGAAUAACUGGGAAAAAUGCCUACUGGAUAGGAAGGACAAUGAGAUAGAAAAUUACGGGGUCUGAUAGACAAAAAUAAACAGUAGGAGGAAUAGAGUUUUAUGUAUGUCUCUUUCUGUGGUUGUCAUUAGGUGAGGUUAUGGUUAUGGUAAGUCUGUGUGUAGGGGCUUUCAGGUAUGUAGUCGCAGAAAGUUUUGUACUUCUUUCUUUUUAAAAAAAUUAUUUUAUUUUAUUUUAUCUGGAGUACACCUGCAGGACGUUCAGGUUUGUUACAUAGGUAAAUGUGUGCCAUGGUGAUUUGCUGCACCUAUCAACCCAUCACCUAGGUAUUAAGCCUAGCAUGCAUUAACUAUUUUUCCUGAUGCUCUCCACCCCAAAUCACCCUCCCCCAACAGGCCCCAGUGUGUGUUGUUCCCCUUCCUGUGUCCAUGUGUCCUCAUUGUUCAGCUCCCACUUAUAAGUGAGAACAUGCGGUCUUUGGUUUUCUGUUCCAGUGUUAGUUUGCUGAGGAUAAUGGCUUCCAGCUUCAUCCAUGUCCCUGCAAAGGACAUGAUCUCAUUCCUUUGUAUGGCUUCACUACAUAGUAUUCUAUGGUGUAUAUGUACCACAUUUUCUUUAUCCAGUCUAUCAUUGAUGGGCAUUUGGGUUGAUUCCUUGUAGUCGUUGAAGAAGUCAUUGAUUUCUAGGAAAGUACUAGAGUUUGUCACUAACCAGAAUUUCAGUUUCUAAUACAAGAAAGAGUUUGAAAUAUUAACAGACAGGUAAGAUUUGUUCGUAGCUAUUAGUGGCAUAGUUGUACCUCUGAAUCUAACUUCUGAUUCCAUUUGCUAAUAAAGCCAUCAACCUGAAUUUCCUUAAUGACAGUUCAAACCAUAUUAUUCCUCUAUUCUAAAAUGUUUGAUAACUGCCCAUUCACUCUAACAUUGGGAAAAAUCUUUCCCCUGGGCAUUAUGGGACAUUUCCUGUUGUUAUCCUGUGAGGGCUAUUUAUGUGUACUAUGCUAGCCAAGCUAAACUUGUCUAUAGAAUAUAUAAUUUAUUAGGAUUCCACUACAAACUUGCUGACACUGCUCUUGUCACCCAAAAUGCCUUUCUCCAGUAUAGUGGGAAUUUCUGUUUUGUACCUGCCUGACAUAUAUUUUCUCUUCUUCUAGUAAUAAUGUCUAGAUUUUCCAUUGAGGAUGAACCUCCUCCCAUUGCAAACAAUUUUGGUUGGUAUCUCAGUCAAGGUGUUCAUUCCACCCCUGCCUGGUAUAUAAAAGUGGAUCCAUUACACAAGAUAAGCCAGUCCGAUUCUCUCUCUCCCUAGAAUUUGAAUCUUGAGCAGCAUAAUAAUACAAACAGUUUCAGCUGAUUCAUCAAGAUAGUCGUGUUUAUUAAAAGAGAUUGCCAAUUAUCUUCUACUUUCUAGAUCCCAGAUUUCACAUCCUUUCCAACACAAAAUUAUUCAGCUUUUCUGUAAUCCAAUGAGCUAAGCCUUUAUACACCUAACAAGUUCUGUAUCUGCUUCAGUUAGAGAUACUUUCUGUUGCUUGUAAACAAAGAAUACUGAUGGACCCUGUGGUAGGCAGAAUAACAGCUCCCUAAAGACUCCACAUCCUAAUCCCCAGAACCUAUGAAUAUGUUAUGCUACAUGGCAAGGGAGAAUUAAAGUUGCAGAUAAAAUUAGUUUGCCGCAGGGUGCGGUGGCUCACGCCUGUAAUCCCAGCACUCUGGGAGGCCGAAACGGGCGGGUCACCUGACGUCAGGAGUUUGAGGCCAGCCUGGCUAACAUGGUGAAAUCCUGUCUCUACUAAAAUACAAAAAAUUAGCCGGGCUUAGUGGCGUGCUCCCAUAAUCCCAGCUACUCGGGAAGCUGAGGAGGGAGAAUCGCUUGAACCUGAGAGGCGGAGGUUGCAGUGAGCCGAGAUUGCACCAUUGCACUGCAGCCUGGGCUGCAAGAGCGAAACUCCAUCUCAAAAAACACAAAACAAAACAAAAAUUAAGUUUGCGAAUCAAAUGACUUUAAGAUAAUGUAUCCUGGAUUAUCUAGGUGGCCCAAUGUAAUCACACAGCACUUAAACAGGGAAGAGAGAAGCAGAAGAGUAAAAAGUAGAGAACGACACGUGAUAAAGACAUCACCAGCCAUUGCUGGCUUUGAAGAUGAAAGGGGUACCAUGAACCAAGGAAUGUGGGCAGCCACUAGAAAUGCAGAAGGUGCCCGGCAUGGUGGCUCACACCUGUAAUCCCAACACUGUGGGAGGCUGAGGUGGGCAGAUCGCUUGAGCCCAGGAGUUUGAGG
This 3563-nucleotide long non-coding RNA is filed under the name Homo sapiens (human). Its description in RNAcentral is "HSALNT0092683". Lineage: Eukaryota; Metazoa; Chordata; Mammalia; Primates; Hominidae. The record is from RNAcentral.